UAAGUUUUUACACUAAAAUUUAUAUAUGUCUCUUAGAUGUAGGGGUGGUUCUUGUCUCUAGUUUGCAUUGUUGGUAAAUCAAGCCUAGAAAAAUUUCAUUUAAUAAAAUCAGCGAAAAUCGGGAUCUUUUUCUUGAUUAUGUAUACAUAUAUAGAAUUAAAGAAAUACCUUAGACUUCUGAUAAAGAUUCAAAGGACUACUGUAAUCUUUUCCACCACUAUUGUUGGGAUUUGAAGAUUAUAAAUUGUAAUCUUCUUUGCUAUCCUCUAUGUGAGAGGUGAAAACCCUAGAAAAUUCUUUUUCCUUUUAUAGAGAAAAAUUAUGUGUUUAAAAGAAUUUAUGUGUUCCAAUUUCCUCUUCUUCAUAAGACACUUAUUAGAGUAAGAGUUCGACUAGAAAUUGAGAUGGCAGAAGAACUGUAGACUGAUGAACUUCCUAACUCUAACUUAAUAGUUGAAGUCCAAACAUUUCAUAACACACCAAAGCUACUAAAUUAACUUGAGGCUAUUCCACUAAAAGCCUAAAGGUACACUCUACUAACUCAUAUCAUAAAUAGAAGCCCUAUUAAUUAAAACUCCUUUUAAUUAAUAUUAGGCGUGAUCUUAGACCAAUAAUAAUUACUUAAUUAACCCUCUAUUUGAUGCUCGUGAUCAAAGUUAGGACCCACGAUAAAUAUCUUGCCUAAGUAAUUACAUAUUUAUCCCUUAAUUCAAUUUUGAUUCUAAUAAUCACUUUUAAUAUAUCUAUAUUUUUUAAUAUAUUACUAAUAAAUAUUAUUAUUCAAUAAAUAGUUUAUUGAAUAAACUGCAGUCAUAAAUUUAAAUGAUCAAGUACCACAAAUAGGUUAGGUAAGCAUUAUAUAUAUAGAUUCUAUUUUGUAAGUAUAUGCUCCUAAGAUUAGGGGUGGCAAUUUGUAGGCUUAGGCUGGACUUUUGCCCAGGUCCAACCCCACAUUAUUCAAACCCAGAGCCUUCAAAAGCUCGUCCAAAUUUGGACGGGCGGGGCUUGAGCUUUUUUAUUAAUUAUAAAAUAUUUAAAUUAAAGAUAAUUAUCUAAUACACAAUAGAAUAAUAGUCCAAUGUAUAAAAUAUUAGUAAUAGAACUUAAUAAAUAACAAAUAUUAAUAUAAAAAAUAACCCUUGUGGGCCGGACUUUAAGCCCGCAGGCCUAGACCGGGCCGAUCCGAACUUUUUUACCAUCCCUAAUUUAUAAGGUGCAUGUGAUAUGCUUUCAAAUGUUCAUCCUUUUUAUCCGUAUGUCAAAGGAUAAAAGCAUAGGCAAGUAUAAGUUCAAUAAAAGCAUAGGCUAAGCGAUAUCGUUUUACCAUUAUUUUAAUUAAAAAAAUAUCGUUCUUCCUAUAUUUAUGUCAUUGCGUUAACAUUUUCUUCUUUCGUUUAUCGGGAAAAAUUCAAUAAUAUAAGCCCAAUUAAUAAUGUUUAUGGUAUCUAAUGCAUGUACAUCUUUUUUGUUCAUUCUUUAAUGUGAAAAAUAGUAAACAAACAUGAGCCCCAAAUUUAGUAGAGUACAGCUUUAAUUUGAACAAAUUAAGCCUUGAAGGCAAAGAAUUUUGAAAUAGAUUUUUAAUUAGUAUAAUCAGCCUUCAAUGUCAGCUUUAUUUUUUAAUAGAUUAUUUCGACAAUCUAUUCUUUCAAUUUCCCAUUACAAUGAAGAGUAUGUGAUCUUUUUAUUACUUGACCUGAGGUUUUAACUUCUAUAUUCUAACAGUGUUAUUCAAUGUUGAUCUGAUUUUUAUGCUCAGUUUUUUUUUUUAAAUCUAUGUUUUAAGGAAAAUUCUAUGAUUACUAUAAAUGUAAUACAUUUAAGAUAUAUAAUUACUAAGUCUUAGCCAAAUUUAAUUAAAGAUUAAUUUAAUAAAUUACCGAAAAUAAUAAAGUAAAUGAAAAAUAAAGCACGCAAUUAAGUAAUCAUGCUUCUAAAGGGCUAAUUAACCACAAUAGGCAUAGAUAUUAAUUUGACUUCUAUGAAAGUCCCUUCUAGUUUCUCAAAAUUAAAAAAUUACAAUAAAAAGCCAAAUAAAAACUCAUUGCUUCUAAAGUAGAAAAGUUUGAGUACUAGAUAGGCUGCCCAAAAUACAUUUUCAUUACUCACAUAUCUCUAUAGAAAGUAAUUUUUUUUUUAAAAAAAAAACCUAUUUGGCUAAUAUUCAGUCGUCUUUUUUGUUGAUGGAAUUAUCCUCUUAACAAUAUUUUAAAAAGUUUACAUGAAUAUUCCUUUUUAAAAAAAAAGAAUUAAUAACGUGUAUUAUUAGGAUAAAAAUUAUCAUCAAUACGUAUGUAUAUAGGCACAAAUAUAUGAAAAAAAUCAAGUUUAAGUACAAUGUAUAGGUCAAUGCCUAAGAGUCAAGCCUAAAUUAGGGCAACACAUAACUACAAAAUACAAUUUCGUACACUACAAAAUUUUAAUAUCAUAAGUAGGGGUAUAAAAAAAUCAUUGUUGCCAAAAAACCAAAAGCUAACUAGAGGUUUGGUUUUGUUUCAAAAAUUAAAAAAACAAGUCAAUUCGUAAAAUCAAAAACAGAAAAAAAAACUACAAAAUAUAGAGGAAUUUACAGUUUAAAAAGAAAAACCAAGCCAAAACGAAAUUGAAUCGAAACUCGAACCAACUCAAUUCAGUUUGAUUUGAAUUUUAUUUUAUAAAAAAAAAUGAUCGAUUUAGAUCGAUUCGAAAAUGAACCAUGCCUCUCACCCCAACUAGAAGAAGACUAUAACAAUAAGAAGAAUUUACUUUUUGAAUUUCUAAACUAUAUAGUGAUAGGUCCCAACCAAAGUUAGCUAACAAUCACAAGAGUUUUUUUGCUUAUGGCGAGAAAAAGACCAAGAUGAAUUGAUUUAAUUGACUGCCUACUUUUAUUAUGCUGGAGCCUUUAUUUAUAAUACUAAACAUAACAAACUCAUCCUACAAUAACGGCUGCAAUCAAAAUACGUAAACUGAAAUAACAUCCUUGCUACUUUUACGAAACACAAAGCUAAACAACUACUACUAAGGAUUUGAUCUUAUCCUCAAUCCUAAGGAUUUGAUCUUAUCCACAAUCCUUGCACGAUCGUUAUUCUCAUAUGUAAUCAUGCAUGCAUGAACCAUGCAAGGGCAAGGCUCAAGGCUUCACGUCAUGUACUUGGAAUUUGGCUUAUGCCCUCUGCUAGACUUAGGGGUGGCAAAAUAGCCCGGGCUUGUCCAGGCCCGGCCAAGCCCAGCCCAUCCGUGCAGGCCAGGCUUUAGGCCCGUGGGCCUGGAUAUGGGCCCAAAUUUACAAAGCCCACAUAUGUUGGGCCUGGACAAGGGCUUCGCAAAAAAGCCCGGACUUGACCCGAGCUUUUUAA
This 3338-nucleotide long non-coding RNA is filed under the name Citrus x clementina. RNAcentral describes it as "Citrus clementina (C. clementina) long non-coding RNA (CCLE_LNC000334)". The record is from RNAcentral. Lineage: Eukaryota; Viridiplantae; Streptophyta; Magnoliopsida; Sapindales; Rutaceae.